RNAcentral lists this ribosomal RNA (406 nucleotides) under uncultured bacterium. Its description in RNAcentral is "partial 16S ribosomal RNA". It matches the Rfam family "Bacterial small subunit ribosomal RNA", at positions 30 to 526 of the family's 1533-position model. The record is from RNAcentral.
AUUGAACGCUGGCGGCAGGCUUAACCCAUGCAAGUCGAACGAGUGGCGGACGGGUGAGUAAUGUUUGGGAAACUAGCUUAUGGAGGGGGAUAACUACGGGAAACUGUAGCUAAUACCGAGUACCAUAGGAUGAGCCCCUGUGGGAUUAGGUAGUUUGUGAGGUAAAGGCUCACCAAGCCGACGAUCCCUAGCUGUUCUGAGAGGAUGACCAGCCAAACUGGAAUUGAGACACGGGCCAGAGUCCUUCGGGAGGCAGCAGUGCGGAAUAUUGCGCAAUGGGUGCAACCCUGAGGCAGCCAUGCCGCGUGUAUGAAGAAGGCCUUAGUGUUGUAAAGUACUUUCAGCGGUGAGGCGUUACCCGCAGAAUAAGCACCGGCUAACUCCGUGCUAGCAGCCGCGGUAAUAC